RNAcentral lists this ribosomal RNA (135 nucleotides) under uncultured eukaryote. Its description in RNAcentral is "partial 18S ribosomal RNA". It matches the Rfam family "Eukaryotic small subunit ribosomal RNA", at positions 1299 to 1458 of the family's 1831-position model. The record is from RNAcentral.
UGGUGGAGCGAUUUGUCUGGUUAAUUCCGAUAACGAACGAGACUCUAGCCUGCUAAAUAGUACACGAGUCAUUAGCUCGUGCGUACUUCUUAGAGGGACAAGUGGCGAUAAGUCACACGAAAUUGAGCAAUAACA